Unclassified non-coding RNA from Octopus bimaculoides (California two-spot octopus), 3716 nucleotides. The record is from RefSeq and is a predicted model, not a curated record. Lineage: Eukaryota; Metazoa; Mollusca; Cephalopoda; Octopoda; Octopodidae.
GCCAAGAUUGACAGCUUCUUUACAAUUCUAGGUUAACUUUCGGUCACCUGGUCAAUGAUUACAUUUAAUAAAUGCACAAUAGGAAUAACAUCUAUGGCAAAUCACGGAGGGGAUGAAAAAUCUGUCGGUGGGUUCGAACAAUACAUGAAAGAAACUGCUCGAAGUUUCAAGGAAUGCCGGGUAAAAAAUUCGCUGCGUCGAAAUUCCCUGCAAAAGAAAACUUUAGGAAUUGAAAAACAACGGAAAAUUUCCUCUUUGUUGCUUGACAAAGAGGAAAGAGAGCUGAGAGAAAAAUAUCGCCAACUGCAAGUCGAUCAAAAGGUUUCCUCCUUUACUCAUUCCACAGAAACCGACGAUAAAGAAGGCGGGGGAGAAAGUGAAGGAUUAAUGAGUGAAGCGGUGUUGAAAGGAGACCAGUAUUGGGACUCUGUUGUUCUCAACCCAUAUCCUAUCACAUUCAGACCAUCGACAUCGACUGAGAAAAAAAUGCGUGGCCCACACACUGAAACAGACGGUAAGGAAAGAAUACACAGUGAAUUAACGAACAGAAAAAAAGAACUGUAGUAACUCGCAGGUACACCAUUUCAUUAUCGCAGACGACAAUCGAUUGAAUUUGAAGAUUUAAUCCUUAAUACGAACACAGGUGGCUUAAAGCUUCCACCCAAGAACAAGAAGAAUUCUUUCUUACAAGUGCAUGUCGACAAAAAGUUAAGUAGACCAGUUAAGCCACAUCCAGAUGCCUUGGAAGAUAACUUCAGUAUGCGGAAACUAAAAAGGAAUAUAGACUUACAACAAAAGAUGUCUUUUGUGGGUGCAAACUAGCUAAGAAUAUAGAACUGUAGAUACGUACACUGGAUGAUAUAGAACUGUAGAUGCAUUAAAAUAAUGUUUUAAAUGUUCAGCUAUUAAACUGCACAUAAAUGCCAACAAUAUAAAUUCGUCAUAAUCAAUGUAUACUUAAAUACACAUGUACAUAAACGUUUCAGUGACUUUAUGUCUACUUAAGAGAUUAGGUCAAGGAAACUCGAAUCGGUCACUACUUAUGUAAUAAGGAAAAAAAUGAUUAAUAAUAUUUGUGCAGUGAAAAGAAAAAAAUAUUAGACCACUGAUUAAAAUUAAUUUAAUCUGAUCUUAGCAGUUACAGCCGAUAUCUCUGGACAUAUUUUAUCGCAGUGACUCGUUUACCAGAUAUGAGGAAAGCACAAGAAAGGCUAUGCUUCACCGAGGAGGUCUAAUAAAAUAGAAACUUACUUGGAAUUAUCUUUUCAUACUUGCCAAUAUCAGAUUGUCAUUGAACUAAACAUUUUUCUUCUCACUGAAUAAGUAUUAAUAAUUAAUUAGAUGAUAUCUUAAUAACUAAUAAUUAAUCAGUUAUUAUAUAAUUAGGUUCCUGAUGGUCAUUUUUUUAUAUAGAUAGUCCUUCUAGUGAUGUUCUUAUCCAAAAUAUGACAAAUAACAGAAGAGUAUGCUUCGCUAACGAAGUACGAUAAUAAGGAAACAUAUGACCCAUGUUUAUAAAGAUCAGAUUAAAAUAGUAUUAAUGAGAAGGAUAAUGAUCUCUUCUCUUUAUUGCUUUAAUAUAAGUAAUUAGAUCUUACCCUCAUUACAUUAAGUAUUGACGGUGGUUGACAAGCUUGAUUAUAUUUCGUAAGUGUGGCGUCCUAGAGAAACUUCCUUCAGUCACUUUGUACAUAAAUCUAUUUAGGAAUACAAGCACGUUUUCUAUUGUUUUAAUCUUCUGUAUUUUCUUGUAUUUUAUCAGUUUUAUUGUAUUAUUAUAACUGUAAUAUUUUUUCUGUAUUUUUAUGUUUGUCUGGUUUGUUUUGCACUCCCACAACAAAACACUGGAUCAAUUGUUAAAAAACGGAUUAGUGAAAAGCAUACGAGGGGUGCUGAGAAGUUCCUGGCUUUAAGGGUAUCGCCAAAGACCUGAUUGAAGUUCAGAGUUCAUUUACAGGGUUUAGAAAUACUGAAGGACUGCUGCCAUAAAUGUGUGAAUGUGAGAGGGGGAUAUGUUGAAUAAAAUCAUAAUUAACUGAUCCUCCUGUAUUUUCUUUCCCCAAAGCCAGGAGCUUUUCAGCUUUUCAGGAGCUUUUCAGUACAAGUAACGUGGUGACAAGCGAUUUAACAAAGUCGUUAGGAUGUCGCGCUGCGAGAUAUUUGUUCCAUUUCUCUUCGCUCGGAGUUCAAAUCCCACCGGCAUCAAUUUUGACUUUCAUCAUUUUGUAAUCGGUAAAAAAAAAAUUGGCGGAACUGUGGGAACGUCGGACUGUCAGGUAUUUUUCUGGCUCUUUGCGAUCCUGAGUUCAAAUCUCGCCAUGGUUUAUUUGAGUGGUAGAUUUCACACCACCAUCUGCAUCUGGGUACCUUAGCGAAGUCCACGCUAUUACAAGAAUUCGGGUUAGGUUUCCUGUUUGAGAAUACUGUUGUUCGUUUCACCUGUUUUGGAAGAUUCCAUAAUAGGUCAUGGGCACUGCCUUCCAUUCUAACCGAAAGAUAUAGUUUUAAAAUGCAUGCAUGCAGGCAUGGGUGUCUAGUAAGAAGCUUGCUUCCCAACCACAUGAUCCCGGGUUCAGUCUCACUGCGUGGCACCUUGGGCAAGUGUCUUCUAUUAUAGUCCGGGCCAAUCAAAGCCUUGUAAGUGGAUUUGCUAGGCAAAAACUGAAAGAAGCCUGUCGUGUAUAUAUAUUUUGACGUAUGUGUCCUUGUAUUUAGUUUGUGCUGUCACAAUCUUGGCGGGCCCACAAUCGGAUCGUUUCUUCCUUGGCGAAGGAUUCUUCAGGAAUCGUCUAACCGUGUCCACAUGACGACCUAAUAUCUCCACAAUGACAUGAAGAGAGGUGCUUUUAGCAUUUUCCUUGAUGAUGACAGACUCUUCUUCAUCGUUAAAGCCUUUUCCACGUCCCAUUUUUCUUAGACAGGAGAGACACUAUUAGCGUGGUUCAUCCAAAAACUGAAGAAUCUGAAAAAAAAUUUUAAAAAAGAUGUAACACAGAAUAAUGAAAACAUAACAAUGAUAUUGCUAUAGUGUGCAAACUAGCUGGGAAAAGCUUUAUCAAAAUCGUCGAUUCACACAAAACCGAGAAAUCCUAAAUUUCACUCCUAAGCUAUUAGCGUGGUUCUGGGUAUAUAUAUAUAUAUGUGUGUGUGUGUGUGUGUGUGUGUGUGUGUGUGUGUGUGUGUGUAUAUAAGGGUAAAAAUAUCAAAAAUGUUUUCUGCUUUUCUCAUCAUGUGUAUAUGUGAGCGUGUGUGUAUUUGUGUGUAUGUAUGUGUGUAUGCAUUUGCAUGCGUGUUGGGGAUAUAAUGAUAGAUUAGUGAGAAAUGCAAGUAAAAGCUUAAAGAAUGAUUGAAGGAGAAAGGAAAGGUGAGCUGAUGAGAAAAUCCGAUGUUUCUGUACCUAACACUAACACUUCUACAAAAUUAUCCCCACAUUACAACUUACAGUAUCUCUGCAUCUCCUUUCAUGAUUCAUUUUGCUUUACUCCCAAGACGAACACGGACUAAAAAUUUAGUUUAUUUAUGCACAACGUUCUGGGUUGCAUCUACAUCUUGCUGCGAAAUUUCAAAAUAAUACGUUGAGAAAUGUCAUCGUUACUUCAAGAUAGGGAACCAUCGAUGCUCUAGCGCGCGCAUGUGAGUGUGCGUAUGUUUAAGUAUCUAUGUAUGUUUUUAGACAUGGAUAUGCAUGUAUGUACGUACGUAUGUAUGUAUCUCUC